Molecule: ribosomal RNA, 254 nt
Filed under: uncultured bacterium
Lineage: Bacteria
Description: partial 16S ribosomal RNA
Rfam family: Bacterial small subunit ribosomal RNA
Source: RNAcentral
UACGUAGGGUGCGAGCGUUAAUCGGAAUUACUGGGCGUAAAGCGUGCGCAGGCGGUGAUGUAAGACCGAUGUGAAAUCCCCGGGCUUAACCGGGGAACUGCAUCUGAUACUGGAUGGCUUGAGUUCGGGAGAGGGAUGCGGAAUUCCAGGUGUAGCGGAUGAAAUGCGUAGAUAUCUGGAGGAACACCGGUGGCGAAGGCGGCAUCCUGGACCGACACUGACGCUGAGGAGCGAAAGCCAGGGGAGCAAACGGG